CUACCAUGCAAGUCGAACGAUGAUGCCCAGCUUGCUGGGCGGAUUAGUGGCGAACGGGUGAGUAAUACGUGAGUAACCUGCCCUUGACUCUGGGAUAAGCCUGGGAAACUGGGUCUAAUACUGGAUACUACCUCUUGCCGCAUGGUGGGUGGUGGAAAGGGUUUUACUGGUUUUGGAUGGGCUCACGGCCUAUCAGCUUGUUGGUGGGGUAAUGGCUCACCAAGGCGACGACGGGUAGCCGGCCUGAGAGGGUGACCGGCCACACUGGGACUGAGACACGGCCCAGACUCCUACGGGAGGCAGCAGUGGGGAAUAUUGCACAAUGGGCGGAAGCCUGAUGCAGCGACGCCGCGUGAGGGAUGACGGCCUUCGGGGUUGUAAACCCUCUUUCAGUAGGGAAGAAGCGAGGAGUGACGGUACCUGCAGAAGAAGCGCCGGCCUAACUACGUGCCAGCAGCCGCGGUAAUACGUAGGGCGCAAGCGUUGUCCGGAAUUAUUGGGCGUAAAGAGCUCGUAGGCGGUUUGUCGCGUCUGCUGUGAAAGCCCGGGGCUCAACCCCGGGUCUGCAGUGGGUACGGGCAGACUAGAGUGCAGUAGGGGAGACUGGAAUUCCUGGUGUAGCGGUGAAAUGCGCAGAUAUCAGGAGGAACACCGAUGGCGAAGGCAGGUCUCUGGGCUGUUACUGACGCUGAGGAGCGAAAGCAUGGGGAGCGAACAGGAUUAGAUACCCUGGUAGUCCAUGCCGUAAACGUUGGGCACUAGGUGUGGGGGACAUUCCACGUUUUCCGCGCCGUAGCUAACGCAUUAAGUGCCCCGCCUGGGGGAGUACGGCCGCAAGGCUAAAACUCAAAGGAAUUGACGGGGGCCCGCACAAGCGGCGGAGCAUGCGGAUUAAUUCGAUGCAACGCGAAGAACCUUACCAAGGCUUGACAUUCACCGGACCGCCCCAGAGAUGGGGUUUCCCUUCGGGGCUGGUGGACAGGUGGUGCAUGGUUGUCGUCAGCUCGUGUCGUGAGAUGUUGGKUUAAGUCCCGCAACGAGCGCAACCCUCGGUUCUAUGUUGCCAGCACGUGAUGGUGGGGACUCAUAGGAGACUGCCGGGGUCAACUCGGAGGAAGGUGGGGAUGACGUCAAAUCAUCAUGCCCCUUAUGUCUUGGGCUUCACGCAUGCUACAAUGGCCGGUACAAAGGGUUGCGAUACUGUGAGGUGGAGCUAAUCCCAAAAAGCCGGUCUCAGUUCGGAUUGAGGUCUGCAACUCGACCUCAUGAAGUCGGAGUCGCUAGUAAUCGCAGAUCAGCAACGCUGCGGUGAAUACGUUCCCGGGCCUUGUACACACCGCCCGUCAAGUCACGAAAGUUGGUAACACCCGAAGCCGGUGGCCUAACCCCUUGUGGGAGGAAGCCGUC
Molecule: ribosomal RNA, 1407 nt
Filed under: Kocuria rosea
Lineage: Bacteria; Bacillati; Actinomycetota; Actinomycetes; Micrococcales; Micrococcaceae
Description: partial 16S ribosomal RNA
Rfam family: Bacterial small subunit ribosomal RNA
Source: RNAcentral